AGGGCACCACCAGGAGUGGAGCCUGCGGCUUAAUUUGACUCAACACGGGAAAACUCACCCGGCCCGGACACCGUAAGGAUUGACAGAUUGAGAGCUCUUUCUUGAUUCGGUGGGUGGUGGUGCAUGGCCGUUCUUAGUUGGUGGAGCGAUUUGUCUGGUUAAUUCCGAUAACGAACGAGACUCUAGCCUGCUAAAUAGGCAGUGGAUUCUUAGUCCACUGUACUUCUUAGAGGGACAAGCAGCGUCUAGCUGCACGAGAUUGAGCAAUAACAGGUCUGUGGUGCCCUUAGAUGUUCGGGGCUGCACGCGCGCUACACUGAAGGAAUCAACAUGCUUCUCAACCUUGCCCGGAAGGGCUAGGUAACCCGUUCAAACUCCUUCGUGAUUGGGAUAGGGAAUUGCAAUUAUUUCCCUUGAACGAAGAAUUCCCAUUAAGUGCGGGUCAUCACCUCGCGCUGAUUACAUCCCUGCCCUUUGUACACACCGCCCGUCGCUACUACCCAUUGGAUGUAGACGAGA
This 519-nucleotide ribosomal RNA is filed under the name uncultured eukaryote. Its description in RNAcentral is "SSU rRNA". It matches the Rfam family "Eukaryotic small subunit ribosomal RNA", at positions 1161 to 1704 of the family's 1831-position model. The record is from RNAcentral.